UCGGCCUUCACAAACGGGCCGCGGCGCGCUUGCCGCGGCGUCCGCUCCGCCCGAGCCUAGUAAUGGGGCGAGGCGUCACGGCGGCGUUCCUGCACGCCUUGUCGGCUUUGGAGCUAGCCUUGGCGGGGGCGGGCCGAGGCGUCGCGGCGGAGGACGAUAAGCAGACGAGCACGCGCCGCCGGCGCGUUUGCCGUGGGCGUCCGCUUCGCCAGAGCCCAGGAGUGGGGCGAGGGGUCGCGCCGGCGUUCCUACGCGCCUUGUCGCCCUUGAAGCUGGCCUUGGCGGGCCGAGGCGUCGCGGCGUAGGACGAUGAGGCGGCCGGCGUGCUCUGUUGGGGCGACGCGUCGCGGCGCUCCGGCUCCAGCAGAUGACGGCAGAGAGCCAGGUGUGGCUUUGUGUCGCCAACAACCACGAGGUCAUCGGCACCGGCCACCGUGCCAGGCUGGACCAACUGCUGCAGCCCCCCUCCGCCGUCGCCGUCGCCGUGGCACAAGAAGCGCGAGUUCCCCCUCGCUGUCGGAGGCUGGGUGUCGUUCUCUAGUGCAGAUUGUCUAAUUGAGUUUCUGAAAGCGUCGUCCACGUCUGCACUUCAUGGGACCAUACACUGGGAACUCACGCCUGAGAACUUCCUGCUCACCAGAUUGGUUUCAGUUUCUCUGUCUCCAUCGAAGAAGUGGCAAGCAUGGUUAGGGCGAGCAACGAGGGUUCCUGUAGUGCAUAACCAUUUCAAGUCGCCCAACUUCUAAAGAGAGAUCAUAAGUGCCAGCUACUGAAGCAAAAAAAGGACCUGAUACACAUUGUGAUAUUCCUAAUGGUUGCUGCUGACGCUAAAAAAAUUACUCCUGAAGCACUAGAAGUGCCCUCUCUAUGGCGCAUCACUCACUGGAUCCAGAUGGGCAACAUUCCGCUUCAAGAUUAAAGACUGCAGAAGAAAGGGACAAAAUACCAAAAAGCUGAAAAUUUGAAGAAAGGUGGAUGUAGGGAACUACACAACUUGAUUCAAGGUUACGAAGGGAAAAAGCGCAUUGAUUGAGCAGGAGAAAACAAUAAUGGGCCGAGGCAAGGAUAUAGUGCUCAGUUAGUAAAGAGAUAUGUGGGAAGUGGAGCAGCGGGAUGCAAAUGGAAUUUUUGUGACUCACUGAAGGUGAGCAAAACUUCAGAAAAGAAAUUGCAACAGAAGUAGAGCCUCAUCACCAAGAGAGCAUAGGGAUUUUAAGUUUUUUGUAGCCUGCACCGGAGACAGUAGAGUUAAGUUUCUACAUCUCAGUGUACAGUUUAACUAUAUCAGGUUAUUUACUAUGAAGUAAAUAUUUGCUUUUGCCA
Molecule: long non-coding RNA, 1323 nt
Organism: Triticum dicoccoides
Lineage: Eukaryota; Viridiplantae; Streptophyta; Magnoliopsida; Poales; Poaceae
Exons: 4
Source: RefSeq, a predicted model, not a curated record